RNAcentral lists this unclassified non-coding RNA (241 nucleotides) under uncultured fungus. RNAcentral's name for it is "sequence contains ITS2". Lineage: Eukaryota; Fungi. The record is from RNAcentral.
AACGCACAUUGCGCCCCUUGGUAUCCCGAGGGGCAUGCCCGUUCGAGCGUCAUUAUAACCCCUCAAGCCUAGCUUGGUGUUGGGGCCUGCUGUUACCGGCAGCCCUUAAAAUCAGUGGCGGUGCCAUCUGGCUCUAAGCGUAGUAAUACUUCUCGCUACAGGGUCCUGGUGGAUGCUUGCCAUCAACCCCUAAUUUUCUAUGGUUGACCUCGGAUCGGGUAGGGAUACCCGCUGAACUUAA